AUUGAACGCUGGCGGCAGGCCUAACACAUGCAAGUCGAACGAGUGUCAGACGGGAGAGUAAUGUCAGGGAAAAUGCAAGAUGGAGGGGGGUGAGGACUGGACACGGUAGAUGAUACCGCAUACUAUAGGAUGAGCCCAGAUGGGAGUAGCUAGUAGGUGGGGUAAAGGCUCACCUAGGCGACGAUCCCUAGCUGGUCUGAGAGGAUGACCAGCCACACUGGAACUGAGCCACGGUCCAGACUCCUACGGGAGGCAGCAGUGGGGAAUAUUGCACAAUGGGCGCAAGCCUGAUGCAGCCAUGCCGCGUGUAUGAAGAAGGCCGUCGGGUUGUAAAGUACUUUCAGCGGGGAGGCGUUACCCUCAGAAGAAGCACCGGCUAACUCCGUGCCAGCAGCCGCGGUAAUUC
This 406-nucleotide ribosomal RNA is filed under the name uncultured bacterium. RNAcentral's name for it is "partial 16S ribosomal RNA". It matches the Rfam family "Bacterial small subunit ribosomal RNA", at positions 29 to 526 of the family's 1533-position model. The record is from RNAcentral.